RNAcentral lists this ribosomal RNA (667 nucleotides) under Helvella costifera. RNAcentral's name for it is "eukaryotic LSU rRNA". It matches the Rfam family "Eukaryotic large subunit ribosomal RNA", at positions 119 to 796 of the family's 3401-position model. Lineage: Eukaryota; Fungi; Ascomycota; Pezizomycetes; Pezizales; Helvellaceae. The record is from RNAcentral.
AAUCUGGGGUCCCCCGGCCCCCGAGUUGUAAUUUGGAGAGGCAUCUUCGGGGGGGAGCGCCGGCCCAUGUUCCUUGGAACAGGACGUCGCAGAGGGUGAGAAUCCCGUGCCAGGCCGGCUGCCUCCUCCCUAGUGAAGGGCCUUCGACGAGUCGAGUUGUUUGGGAAUGCAGCUCCAAGUGGGUGGUAAAUUUCAUCUAAAGCUAAAUACCGGCGGGAGACCGAUAGCGCACAAGUAGAGUGAUCGAAAGAUGAAAAGCACUUUGAAAAUAGAGUCAAAAAGUACGUGAAAUUGUUGAAAGGGAAGCGCUUGAGACCAGACUCAGACCCGAGCAAACACCGCGCCCCUCGGGGCCGUGCAAUUGCCUGGGGCUGGGCCAGCAUCAGUUGGCGUGGCGGGACAAAGGCGCGGGGAAUGUGGCUCCCCUCGGGGAGUGUUAUUAGGCCCGCGCUCAAUGCCGCCGCCGCCGACUGAGGACCGCGCCUCGGCUAGGAUGCUGGCUUAAUGGCCUUCAGCGACCCGUCUUGAAACACGGACCAAGGAGUCUAACAUCUAUGCGAGUGUUUGGGCGUCAAACCCUUGCGCGGAAUGAAAGUGAGCGGAGGUGGGAACCCCUUCGCAGGGCGCACCAUCGACCGAUCCUGAUGUCUUCGGAUGGAUUUGAGUA